RNAcentral lists this ribosomal RNA (728 nucleotides) under uncultured Sphingobacterium sp. Its description in RNAcentral is "bacterial SSU rRNA". It matches the Rfam family "Bacterial small subunit ribosomal RNA", at positions 142 to 870 of the family's 1533-position model. Lineage: Bacteria; Pseudomonadati; Bacteroidota; Sphingobacteriia; Sphingobacteriales; Sphingobacteriaceae. The record is from RNAcentral.
GAUAGCCUCUCGAAAGAGAGAUUAACACCGCAUAAAAUCAAUUUAUGGCAUCAUAGAAUGAUCAAAUAUUUAUAGGAACAAGAUGGGCAUGCGGAACACUAGCUAGGUGGUAAGGUAACGGCUUACCAAGGCUACGAUGUUUAGGGGAUCUGAGAGGAUGACCCCCCACACUGGUACUGAGACACGGACCAGACUCCUACGGGAGGCACCACGUAAGGAAUAUUGGUCAAUGGACGCAAGUCUGAACCAGCCAUGCCGCGUGCAUGAAGACGGCCCUACGGGUUGUAAACUGCUUUUGUACCGGAAUAAACCUUUCCUCGUGAGGGAAGCUGAAUGUACGGUAAGAAUAAGGAUCGGCUAACUCCGUGCCAGCAGCCGCGGUAAUACGGAGGAUCCAAGCGUUAUCCGGAUUUAUUGGGUUUAAAGGGUGCGUAGGUGGCCUAUUAAGUCAGGGGUGAAAGACGGUAGCUUAACUAUCGCAGUGCCUUUGAUACUGAUGGGCUUGAAUACACUUGAGGUAGGCGGAAUGUGACAAGUAGCGGUGAAAUGCAUAGAUAUGUCACAGAACACCAAUUGCGAAGGCAGCUUACUAAAGUGUUAUUGACACUGAGGCACGAAAGCGUGGGGAUCAAACAGGAUUAGAUACCCUGGUAGUCCACGCCCUAAACGAUGAAUACUCGAUGUUGGCGAUAUACGGUCAGCGUCUAAGCGAAAGCGUUAAGUAUUCC